GAUGAAAACGUAGCGAAAUGCGAUAAGUAAUGUGAAUUGCAGAAUUCAGUGAAUCAUCGAAUCUUUGAACGCACAUUGCGCCCCCUGGUAUUCCGGGGGGCAUGCCUGUUCGAGCGUCAUUUCACCACUCAAGCCUCGCUUGGUAUUGGGCAACGCGGUCCGCCGCGUGCCUCAAAUCGACCGGCUGGGUCUUCUGUCCCCUAAGCGUUGUGGAAACUUUCGCUAAAGGGUGUUCGGGAGGCUACGCCGUAAAACAACCCCAUUUCUAAGGUUGACCUCGGAUCAGGUAGGGAUACCCGCUGAACUUAAGCAUAUCAAUAAGCGGAGGA
Molecule: unclassified non-coding RNA, 329 nt
Filed under: soil metagenome
Description: partial contains 5.8S ribosomal RNA, internal transcribed spacer 2, and large subunit ribosomal RNA
Rfam family: 5.8S ribosomal RNA (bases 1-119)
Source: RNAcentral